This 301-nucleotide ribosomal RNA is filed under the name uncultured bacterium. RNAcentral's name for it is "partial 16S ribosomal RNA". It matches the Rfam family "Bacterial small subunit ribosomal RNA", at positions 509 to 808 of the family's 1533-position model. The record is from RNAcentral.
CAGUAGCCGCGGUAAUACGUAGGUGGCAAGCGUUGUCCGGAAUUAUUGGGCGUAAAGGGCUCGCAGGCGGUUUCUCAAGUCUGAUGUGAAAGCCCCCGGCUCAACCGGGGAGGGUCAUUGGAAACUGGGAAACUUGAGUGCAGAAGAGGAGAGUGGAAUUCCACGUGUAGCGGUGAAAUGCGUAGAGAUGUGGAGGAACACCAGUGGUGAAGGCGACUCUCUGGUCUGUAACUGACGCUGAGGAGCGAAAGCGUGGGGAGCGAACAGGAUUAGAUACCCUGUAGUCCCUGUCUCUUAUACA